AUGACAGGUCAGCAGGAGUCUGGGACAGGUCUGUGCUGGAGGCUGUCCUCCGUGCACGGGCUGGAGGCGCCUGCGACAGCUCAGCUCAGGUCUUCAAUUCAGUCAGGUGAGGCGCGAGUGAGAGUUGUAUUCUGCGUAGCUGUUUCCGAGGGGAGCAAGGGAAAAGGGUUAGCCGUGUCGUCUUUGGUCAGAAGGGUGAUCAGCACUGCGAAAGACCCCGCGGCCACUGGUCCCUACAGCCAGGCUGUGUUAGUCGACAGGACCAUUGACAUUUCAGGACAGCUAGGCGUGGACCCUGCAAGUGGACAGCUUGUGCCAGGAGGGGUGGCAGAAGAGGCUAAACAAGCUCUUACAAACAUAGGUGAGAUUCUGAAAGCAGCAGGCUGUGACUUCACAAAUGUGGUAAAAGCAACUGUUUUGCUGGCUGACAUAAAUGACUUCAGUACUGUCAAUGAUGUCUACAAACAAUAUUUCCAGAAGAGUUUUCCUGCACGAGCUGCUUACCAGGUUGCUGCUUUGCCCAAAGGAGGCCGUGUUGAGAUCGAAGCAAUAUAGCAUGCAAGGACCUCUCACGACAGCAUCACUCUAA
This is a non-coding RNA of Odocoileus virginianus texanus, 589 nucleotides long. Lineage: Eukaryota; Metazoa; Chordata; Mammalia; Artiodactyla; Cervidae. The record is from RefSeq and is a predicted model, not a curated record.